AAACUAACUAGGAUUCCCUUAGUAACGGCGAGUGAACCGGGAUGAGCUCAAAUUUGAAAUCUGGCGUCUUUCAGGCGUCCGAGUUGUAAUCUAUAGAGGCGUUUUCCGCGCCGGACCGCGUCCAAGUCUCUUGGAAUAGAGUAUCAAAGAGGGUGACAAUCCCGUACUUGACGCGACAACCGGUGCUCUGUGAUACGUUCUCAAUGAGUCGAGUUGUUUGGGAAUGCAGCUCUAAAUGGGUGGUAAAUUCCAUCUAAGGCUAAAUAUUGGCGAGAGACCGAUAGCGAACAAGUACCGUGAGGGAAAGAUGAAAAGCACUUUGGAAAGAGAGUUAAACAGCACGUGAAAUUGUUAAAAGGGAAACGAUUGAAGUCAGUCGUGUGGGAAGUAUUCAGCCGUCUCUGGCGGUGUAUUUGCUUCUCACGGGUCAACAUCAGUUUGAUCCGGUAGAAAAAGGCGGGAAGAAGGUGGCACCCUCGGGUGUGUUAUAGCUUCCUGUCAUAUGUGCCGGACCAGACUGAGGAACGCACCUUGCAACAAUGCCGGGGUUCGCCCACCUACAAGCUUAGGAUGUUGACAUAAUGG
RNAcentral lists this ribosomal RNA (585 nucleotides) under Vishniacozyma carnescens. RNAcentral's name for it is "partial large subunit ribosomal RNA". It matches the Rfam family "Eukaryotic large subunit ribosomal RNA", at positions 62 to 637 of the family's 3401-position model. The record is from RNAcentral. Lineage: Eukaryota; Fungi; Basidiomycota; Tremellomycetes; Tremellales; Bulleribasidiaceae.